UUUGGGCUCCCAUAGAAAAUAGAGAGGGAGAAAUCCUCCCGACCAUCAUUCUUGCUAAUCUUGGAAUGGAUAAACUAACGGUGAUUGUAGUCCACAUUAACCUGGAUAGACUCUUUCCACAUCAUCCAAAUAUCCCCUGAAAAUCCAACUGCCUCAACUCAGUGAGAGUAGUCGAAUCCCAAGUUCUUGAUCACUUUAUCUGCUUUCUCGUAUGCCGUUCUAGGAUCCAACAACGCAACCAAGGUACGAUUGUGGAUAUUGAUAAACGACUUUAGGACACGCCGUAGACUAGCUUUGACUGCACCCUGAAAAUUCCACACAAGAAAUAAACAAUCCAUAGGGUAAGGAUAAGAGAACAGAGGAGCUGAUGCUCAAAAGAAAGAUUAUGUUUGCUCCUUCUGAAGGGCAUCAACAGCGCUUGAAACGAGGCUUAUAUCCUUAU
Molecule: long non-coding RNA, 442 nt
Filed under: Carica papaya (papaya)
Lineage: Eukaryota; Viridiplantae; Streptophyta; Magnoliopsida; Brassicales; Caricaceae
Description: long non-coding RNA (CPAP_LNC009952)
Source: RNAcentral